AGAAUCAACGCUGGCGGCGUGCCUAACACAUGCAAGUCGAACGAGAAAGUGGGAGCAAUCCCACGAGUAAAGUGGCGCACGGGUGAGUAACACGUGACUAACCUACCCUUGAGUGGGGGGAUAACCUAGGGAAACCUGGGCUAAUACCGCAUAAUACCUACGGGUCAAAGGAGCAAUUCGCUUAAGGAGGGGGUCGCGGCAGAUUAGUUAGUUGGCGGGGUAAUGGCCCACCAAGACAGUGAUCUGUAUCCGGCCUGAGAGGGCGCACGGACACACUGGAACUGAAACACGGUCCAGACUCCUACGGGAGGCAGCAGUGGGGAAUUUUGCGCAAUGGGGGAAACCCUGACGCAGCAACGCCGCGUGGAGGAUGAAGCCCCUUGGGGCGUAAACUCCUUUCGAUCGGGAAGAUAAUGACGGUACCGGAAGAAGAGCCCCGGCUAACUUCGCGCCAGCAGCCGC
This 462-nucleotide ribosomal RNA is filed under the name uncultured bacterium. RNAcentral describes it as "SSU rRNA". It matches the Rfam family "Bacterial small subunit ribosomal RNA", at positions 26 to 518 of the family's 1533-position model. The record is from RNAcentral.